RNAcentral lists this ribosomal RNA (468 nucleotides) under uncultured bacterium. RNAcentral describes it as "partial 16S ribosomal RNA". It matches the Rfam family "Bacterial small subunit ribosomal RNA", at positions 28 to 507 of the family's 1533-position model. The record is from RNAcentral.
GACGAACGCUGGCGGCGUGCUUAACACAUGCAAGUCGAACGGAAAGGCCCUGCUUUUGUGGGGUGCUCGAGUGGCGAACGGGGGAGUAACACGUGAGUAACCUGCCCUUUACUUUGGGAUAACUUCAGGAAACUGGGGCUAAUACCGGAUAGGAGCUCCUGCUGCAUGGUGGGGGUUGGAAAGUUUCGGCGGUGGGGGAUGGACUCGCGGCUUAUCAGCUUGUUGGUGGGGUAGUGGCUUACCAAGGCUUUGACGGGUAGCCGGCCUGAGAGGGUGACCGGCCACAUUGGGACUGAGAUACGGCCCAGACUCCUACGGGAGGCAGCAGUGGGGAAUAUUGCACAAUGGGCGGAAGCCUGAGGCAGCAACGCCGCGUGCGGGAUAACGGCCUUCGGGUAGUAAACCGCUUUCGCCUGUGACGAAGCGUGAGUGACGGUAAUGGGUAAAGAAGCACCGGCUAACUACGUG